AAAGGGUCCGUAGGCGGUUUGGUAAGUCAGUGGUGAAAGCCCAUCGCUUAACGAUGGAACGGCCAUUGAUACUGCCAGACUUGAAUUACUAGGAAGUAACUAGAAUAUGUAGUGUAGCGGUGAAAUGCUUAGAUAUUACAUGGAAUACCAAUUGCGAAGGCAGGUUACUACUAGUGGAUUGACGCUGAUGGACGAAAGCGUGGGGAGCGAACAGGAUUAGAUACCCGAGU
Molecule: ribosomal RNA, 230 nt
Filed under: uncultured bacterium
Lineage: Bacteria
Description: partial 16S ribosomal RNA
Rfam family: Bacterial small subunit ribosomal RNA
Source: RNAcentral